RNAcentral lists this long non-coding RNA (239 nucleotides) under Lathyrus oleraceus (garden pea). RNAcentral's name for it is "Pisum sativum (pea) long non-coding RNA (PSAT_LNC034887)". Lineage: Eukaryota; Viridiplantae; Streptophyta; Magnoliopsida; Fabales; Fabaceae. The record is from RNAcentral.
UGGUGGUUGAGGGAGGAGUUUCGGAGUUGGUAUAUAUAGGUGUUGGUUGAGGAGUAGAGGAAGCAAUAUUAGAGGGCGCUUUAUUACAAAAGCGGACUCUAAAGUGAAGCGAAAAAAUAAGGAGCGAACAACUGGAAUAGACAACGCACUUUAGAGGGGGCUUUUGUAAUAAAGCGCCCUCUAAGGUGAAGCGAAAAAAUAAGGAGGAGAUAGAGGGACAAUAAUACAGGGCACUUUUU